Molecule: long non-coding RNA, 270 nt
Filed under: Brassica rapa (field mustard)
Lineage: Eukaryota; Viridiplantae; Streptophyta; Magnoliopsida; Brassicales; Brassicaceae
Description: long non-coding RNA (BRAP_LNC007246)
Source: RNAcentral
GAUGUUUGAAACUUGGUAGUAGAAUGUUUGAACUGCAUAAUUUGGAUGUUUGAAACAGGUAUGGAAAACUAGAUUUACAAGUGUUACUAUGUCCAAAAACGAGUAAGAUUGAUAACUAGAAUUACUGGGUUUCUUACGCCUCAAAAGCACAAAAAAUAGAAAAAAGAUAUAACAAAAACUAGUAAACACAUGUAAAACACUAAAAAUGAAAAAAUAUUAUUUAAAAAAGAAUUAAAAAAUGCAUUUCACAUGUAAAACGUGCAGCCGUCA